Long non-coding RNA from Solanum lycopersicum (tomato), 892 nucleotides. RefSeq lists it as uncharacterized. The record is from RefSeq and is a predicted model, not a curated record. NCBI's taxonomy places the organism in Eukaryota, Viridiplantae, Streptophyta, Magnoliopsida, Solanales, Solanaceae.
UUAAUUUUUAGGAAUUAGAAACCUUUUCAGUUCUGGACUUCUCGUUCUCACUGCACUUGCUCUCUCGUUUCUCUCAAAAUUCCAAACUCCAAAGAUUCAACCAUCGAAGCGACUUGUUGCUCCUGUCACUCAGGCGAGGUGAUGAGUCUAACCAGCGAGGUGAAGAGUCUAACCAACAAGUCACAAUUUUACUCUAAUAACUCAGGUGCCUAGCGAAGCGACAACUACUCUAGUCAGGCAGUCACUCAGGUGAGGAAGCAAGAAGUUAGAAGUUCGACUGCUCGAGACUUCGAGUUUUACUCUUCUCAGUUAUCACGACUUCUACACAGUCCUACUCGGCUUACUCCAGUCUCACUGUCUCAGUUUCUCAACCUUUGCAAUUUAUGGUUUACUGUUAAAUGGAUUGUGGCAAAUUAAGGGUGCCUUACGGGUGUUGUUGGCUUGUUGUUGUGCUGAUUGUUGAAUGAGGAGGAGCAGGAGACAAGAGGAAAAGUGUCCAAAACAGAAACGCAUAAGGUUGUGAGAUUUAGUGCAGAGGUGACCCACGAAGGCCACCGAGGAGCGUAGAAGGUGACCGCCUACUGGAAGUUCAGGCAUCUAACUCGGGGAAAUCUGACCAAGUGUGGGGAUACGGAAGGAUCGGUGGUCCGUCCUAUUAAAUCGUUGAUCUGAUAAGAGAAUAUCCCAGUACCCGAAGUUGAAGAAAAUCUAAGUAUGGAACGAUGGAAGGCAUCGACGGACCGUGUUGUUGGUCCGUUAGUUGAAUCAGAGAAUAUGCCAGUUGAAGGAUUAAAAAAAGAUGCUAAGUCUGGACUUACGGAGGCAGUCGACGGUCCAUCGUUUCAUCGACGGUCCGCCGUUUCAUCGGCGGUCCGUCUGUGGGGGUUGUCGA